UUAAAGUUUUAAUUUGGCUUAAAAGGUUGAUUUUUAAAGUUAUUAUAUGUAAAUUUUAGUGUUUUAAUUUAAAUAAUAUUGUUUUCAGUAUUUAGAUUUGGGUGUGUAAGAAAUUAUUAUCUAGGGAUUUAGAAGAGUAUUAACAUAAUUUGUGCCAGCAGUUGCGGUUAUACAUAUAAUACAAUUAAUUUAUAUUAGCUAGUAAUAAAUUAUUUAAAUUUAAUUUAUUCUUAUUUUUUUUAGGUGAAAUUUUAAAAUUUAGUUAAUAUUAUAUAAAAUUUUAUGAUUUAUUAAAUUUAUUUAUAGACUAGGAUUAGAUACCCUAUUAUUUUAAAUGUAAAUUUAAUGCUUAAUUAUUAAUAGAUAUAUUCUUUAAAGUUAAAAAUUUUGGCGGUAUUUUAGUCUAUUUAGAGGAACCUGUUCAGUAAUCGAUAAUCCACGAUUUAUAAGACUUAUUUUAAGUAGUUUGUAUAUCGUCGUUAAUAAAUAUUUUAUAAGAAUUUAAAUGUUUAGGGUCUAUAAUAAUAAAAAAAAUCAGAUCAAGGUGCAGUUUAUAGAUAAGAUGAAAUGGGUUACAAUAAAUUUAUUUAUGGAUAAUUAAUUAAAUUAUUAAUUUAAAAUAGGAUUUAAUAGUAAUAAAAUUUAAUUAAAUUUUAUGAUUUUAGCUCUAAAAUAUGUACAUAUUGCCCGUCACUCUCAUAUAAAAUGAGAUAAGUCGUAACAAAGUAGGUGUACUGGAAAGUGUACCUAGUAAGA
This 756-nucleotide non-coding RNA is filed under the name Stilicoderus aquilinus. The record is from RNAcentral. Lineage: Eukaryota; Metazoa; Arthropoda; Insecta; Coleoptera; Staphylinidae.